GAAGCCAAAAUGGUUAUUCACUCAAAAAGGCUGACCAUGCGAACCGAAUACUCUCGCCGGAGAAUGCGAGCCGAAACAACAUCGUCGGUAAGCACGAAUCGAAAUCAUCGCCGGAAAAUGUCUUUGAUCCCAAAACCGAAACUCCAUGAGCGAUCUGGAAUAAUCAUGGUCGAAACCGGAAUCGGAGCUCACUCAGAAUCCGCGUCCAUUACCGUCUUCAUUACUCGCGUCCAAAUGCUUCAGCCGAAAUCAAGGUCGAUUCUGCAUCCAAGCUCGCUCAACAUUCGUCUUCAACGAAUCAACGAACCUACAUCAUCGUGGAAUCGCGUCGGCACCAUAUUCGAAUUGACUUGUCUUAAUGCGAAUCUGGUGAUUCGCCAAGGGCUCUAUAAUGGCUGAUCGUGAUCGCUCAGAGCAACAUGAAGAAGCAAGCGCGAACAUAUUGUUUGUCACGGUGGCUCUUUUACUUCAUCUCCGAUGAUGACUCCACCGGUAAGAUUUAUUUCUUGGCUUUCUUUUUGCAAUGUUCUGUUUCUCUUUCUUCAAAGUUCUUCUCCUUCUGAUUUCUUGGCGUGUGUUGUUGUGUGUGAGGUUGUUGUGCGAUUGAUUUGCGCCUCAGAAGGUGAAUGUGGGAUGUGAGGUGAAACAGAAGAUGAAGAUGAAGCAGUAAGAUGAUGAAGGUGAGCGAAGAAGAUGAAGAUGAGUGAAGAGUGAAGAAUUAAGAAUGAAGAAGAACCCCAAAAUGAAGAUGGAAUCAAGAGUCAUGGUGGUCUAAGGAUAAAUUGGAAAUAAGUACUGAGGUCUGAAUAGGAUGGCAAUGUCGGAAAAUUUGAUGAUUCUGCCACUGCAGGGACUUGCUCCAGGGUAAUUAUGCAGGAUGCACCUUAAGGGAAAGCUAGUUUGCCAAUUAACUAACUUAUCUUGUUAACUGUUGAUGCAACAUGAUGGAUGUAUGUUACGGUUUGGCGAAUCGAUUUAGGUUGGGCUAACACCAAGUCACAAACUUGAAGGAAAUUAGCAACAAAAGCCUCAUGUUGGACAACAUGCUUGUUAGGCUGUCAUGACAACAAUCUCAGAUGCUUCCACACGACCGAAGCUUUGCAGCAUGUUUAAGGCCUUACCCGAAUUAGACAAGGAUGCGGCAAGGGAUCACCAAGACGAUAAGUCAUGUGAUUAAGUCUGGGUACAAUUAGUAUAAUACAUAACGUGAUGCUUGUAAUUAAACCCUCAUUUGGGUCAAUCAAAUGUAAUACAUCAGAAUGUGAUUAAUUUUAACAUGGUGGAUCCAAACAUAAUUCAUGUGCAAUUGUUGUGUCA
Long non-coding RNA from Lathyrus oleraceus (garden pea), 1317 nucleotides. RefSeq lists it as uncharacterized. The transcript has 3 exons. NCBI's taxonomy places the organism in Eukaryota, Viridiplantae, Streptophyta, Magnoliopsida, Fabales, Fabaceae. The record is from RefSeq and is a predicted model, not a curated record.